ACGAAUUAUUAAUGAGUUGUUUAAUCUUGUUUGAUGGUUCAUAAAAUCAGGAAGUUAUACUCAUGCAGAGGCGCAGAAAGCAGAAUUUUUUUUUUUUUUUUUUUUUUUGGGGGGGGGGAUCAAUGUAAUCACCCAUCACCCAACUAUAGGGGGUCUGGAGGAAUGCUCACUCAGAAAAUUUGAAGUCUAGAACCUCUGAUAUGGCACCUUCAGCCAUCAUUGGGGCGUUGAUUUGGGAAGCAUUAGGCAGUUAGUCUGCUAAAAGAUAAUAUUGCAUGGAUUACACCAUUACUCCGAAAUAUGCAACGAAUACAAUUGUAUUUGUAUUGAAGAAUACGACUUUAAAAUGAAAAUGGCUAUAGCUGAUUGUUUAGCUACAACUCUUUUCACAACGCAUUUCACUUCGCAUUGCUACGAAAAGGCGUAAAACGUCAGAAAGAGAAUUGCAGAUUGAUUUUGAAUAAAAUUGAUACGUGUUAUUCAAUGCGAUUUCUCUAUAGUUUAUGGAUAUUUGGCAGGUAAACAUGGGAAGAUACCCGAUACGUAUUCUUCAACAGUAACUGGGCAUUCUCCCCAUUGGGAGUAAAACACUUCUCCAUAUACUGGAAGUGGUCUCCAAAUUCAUCAGGCACUAGUUGGCAGAAAAACGUGCUGUCAAAUUUCGUGCAACCGCAUGCAUUUGUACCUGCUUUCUUGUGUGGUCCUCGACAGUGACGACAGUCAUCUUUAGUUGUUCUUUGAUGGUGGUAACAGCUUCAUCUCUGUACUUCUUUAUCAUCCAGUCACCUACCAGGUUAGAUGAUUUUUCUGUGUAGUUGCCUGGCUCGGAAUGCAUCUCGAAAGGCA
This is a non-coding RNA of Paramuricea clavata, 846 nucleotides long. The record is from the annotation of a GenBank genome assembly. NCBI's taxonomy places the organism in Eukaryota, Metazoa, Cnidaria, Anthozoa, Malacalcyonacea, Plexauridae.